CAAGUCGAGCGGAGAUGAGGUGCUUGCACCUUAUCUUAGCGGCGGACGGGUGAGUAAUGCUUAGGAAUCUGCCUAUUAGUGGGGGACAACAUUCCGAAAGGAAUGCUAAUACCGCAUACGCCCUACGGGGGAAAGCAGGGGAUCUUCGGACCUUGCGCUAAUAGAUGAGCCUAAGUCGGAUUAGCUAGUUGGUGGGGUAAAGGCCUACCAAGGCGACGAUCUGUAGCGGGUCUGAGAGGAUGAUCCGCCACACUGGGACUGAGACACGGCCCAGACUCCUACGGGAGGCAGCAGUGGGGAAUAUUGGACAAUGGGCGGAAGCCUGAUCCAGCCAUGCCGCGUGUGUGAAGAAGGCCUUUUGGUUGUAAAGCACUUUAAGCGAGGAGGAGGCUACUUAGAUUAAUACUCUAGGAUAGUGGACGUUACUCGCAGAAUAAGCACCGGCUAACUCUGUGCCAGCAGCCGCGGUAAUACAGAGGGUGCGAGCGUUAAUCGGAUUUACUGGGCGUAAAGCGUGCGUAGGCGGCUGAUUAAGUCGGAUGUGAAAUCCCUGAGCUUAACUUAGGAAUUGCAUUCGAUACUGGUCAGCUAGAGUAUGGGAGAGGAUGGUAGAAUUCCAGGUGUAGCGGUGAAUGCGUAGAGAUCUGGAGGAAUACCGAUGGCGAAGGCAGCCAUCUGGCCUAAUACUGACGCUGAGGUACGAAAGCAUGGGGAGCAAACAGGAUUAGAUACCCUGGUAGUCCAUGCCGUAAACGAUGUCUACUAGCCGUUGGGGCCUUUGAGGCUUUAGUGGCGCAGCUAACGCGAUAAGUAGACCGCCUGGGGAGUACGGUCGCAAGACUAAAACUCAAUGAAUUGACGG
RNAcentral lists this ribosomal RNA (862 nucleotides) under uncultured bacterium. RNAcentral's name for it is "bacterial SSU rRNA". It matches the Rfam family "Bacterial small subunit ribosomal RNA", at positions 58 to 916 of the family's 1533-position model. The record is from RNAcentral.